Molecule: non-coding RNA, 205 nt
Organism: Oryza glaberrima (African rice)
Lineage: Eukaryota; Viridiplantae; Streptophyta; Magnoliopsida; Poales; Poaceae
Source: Rfam
AAUACUUGUCGCUUUGAUUUUGUUUGUAACUUUUGAUCAUUCGUCUUAUUCAAAAAAUUAUAGAAUUAUUAUUUAUUUUAUUUAUGACUUUCUUUAUUAUCAAAAGUACUUUAAGUAUGACUUAUCAUUUUUUAUAUUUGCACUAAUUUUUCAAAUAAGACGAAUGGUCAAACGUUGCAUAAAAAAGUCAAAGUGACCACUAAUU